UGUAUCAGGGCUUAUUAAAUUAGGAUUAAGGCUUUAUUUAUCUCGAAUUUAAAAGAGCUAUGCAUGAAUAUAUAUUAAUGUAGAAUAAUUAUUUAUAAUUUGUGUAUUGUAAUGAAACGUUAUUCGUUUUUAAAUAUAUCUAGUUUUCUAAGAAAUUAAUUAAAUUUAGUAAUUGUUUAAUAUUUUUAUUAAUUUUUAUUUUUAUAUUAACAGUUGUUAAUAUCUGAAGGGAUGAGCUUUUGGAUAGAUACUUAUAAGAUUUUUUUUGUUUGAUAAUUUGUAGGAUUAGAAUUUUCCAUCUAUAAAAGGAUGUUAUAAUUUAUUAUUGAAGAAUAUGAUUUAUAUUUUCUUUAGGUUUUUUAUUAGAAUGAUAAUACUAAUUUUUGGUAUUAUGAAAUAAUGAUUAGAUUAGUAUAAUUAUUUGUGAUUUUAAGUUAUUAUGUAAGGUUACUGAAAGGAACUCGGCAAUUUUAAUUUUCACCUGUUUAAUAAAAACAUGGCCUUUUGAGGAUGAUUUAAGGUCUUACCUGCCCAAUGAUUUUUUUAAUGGCCGC
This 554-nucleotide ribosomal RNA is filed under the name Dendarus moesiacus. RNAcentral's name for it is "partial large subunit ribosomal RNA". Lineage: Eukaryota; Metazoa; Arthropoda; Insecta; Coleoptera; Tenebrionidae. The record is from RNAcentral.